CAACGUGGGUAACCUGCCCUGAUGAUCGGGACAACCCGAGGAAACUCGAGCUAAUACCGAAUGUGCCCUCCGGCCAUAAGGCCACUGGGGAAAGGAAGCUUCGGCCUCCGCAUCGGGAUGGGCCCGCGGCCCAUUAGCUUGUUGGUGAGGUAACGGCUCACCAAGGCAAUGAUGGGUAGCUGGUCUGAGAGGACGAUCAGCCACACUGGGACUGAGACACGGCCCAG
Molecule: ribosomal RNA, 227 nt
Filed under: uncultured bacterium
Lineage: Bacteria
Description: partial 16S ribosomal RNA
Rfam family: Bacterial small subunit ribosomal RNA
Source: RNAcentral